Molecule: ribosomal RNA, 500 nt
Filed under: uncultured bacterium
Lineage: Bacteria
Description: partial 16S ribosomal RNA
Rfam family: Bacterial small subunit ribosomal RNA
Source: RNAcentral
GAUGAACGCUGGCGGCAUGCCUUACACAUGCAAGUCGAACGGCAGCACGGGAGCAAUCCUGGUGGCGAGUGGCGAACGGGUGAGUAAUGUAUCGGAACGUGCCCAGUCGUGGGGGAUAACGCAGCGAAAGCUGUGCUAAUACCGCAUACGAUCUAUGGAUGAAAGCGGGGGAUCGCAUGACCUCGCGCGAUUGGAGCGGCCGAUAUCAGAUUAGGUAGUUGGUGGGGUAAAGGCCCACCAAGCCUGCGAUCUGUAGCUGGUCUGAGAGGACGACCAGUCACACUGGAACUGGGACACGGUCCAGACUCCUACGGGAGGCAGCAGUGGGGAAUUUUGGACAAUGGGCGCAAGCCUGAUCCAGCAAUGCCGCGUGCAGGAUGAAGGCCUUCGGGUUGUAAACUGCUUUUGUACGGAGCGAAACGGCUCUCACUAAUACUGGGGGCUAAUGACGGUACCGUAAGAAUAAGCACCGGCUAACUACGUGCCAGCAGCCGCCGUAA